RNAcentral lists this ribosomal RNA (564 nucleotides) under uncultured bacterium. RNAcentral's name for it is "bacterial SSU rRNA". It matches the Rfam family "Bacterial small subunit ribosomal RNA", at positions 338 to 916 of the family's 1533-position model. The record is from RNAcentral.
CCUACGGGAGGCAGCAGUGGGGAAUCUUGCGCAAUGGGCGAAAGCCUGACGCAGCAACGCCGCGUGCGGGAAGAAGGCUUUCGGGCUGUAAACCGCUUUCAGCAGGAACGAAAAUGACGGUACCUGCAGAAGAAGGAGCGGCCAACUAUGUGCCAGCAGCCGCGGUGAUACAUAGGCUUCAAGCGUUGUCCGGAUUUAUUGGGCGUAAAGAGUUCGUAGGCGGUCGAGUAAGUCGGGUGUGAAAAUUCUGGGCUCAACCCCAGAGACGCCACCCGAUACUGCUUGACUUGAGUUCGAUAGGGGAGUGGGGAAUUCCUAGUGUAGCGGUGAAAUGCGCAGAUAUUAGGAGGAACACCGGUGGCGAAGGCGCCACUCUGGAUCGAUACUGACGCUGAGGAACGAAAGCAUGGGUAGCAAACAGGAUUAGAUACCCUGGUAGUCCAUGCCGUAAACGGUGGGCACUAGGUGUGGGUUUCUAUUAACGAAAUCCGCGCCGUCGCUAACGCAUUAAGUGCCCCGCCUGGGGAGUACGGUCGCAAGCUAAAACGUCAAAGGAAUUGACGG